Macaca mulatta (Rhesus monkey) is the source of this 496-nucleotide non-coding RNA. The record is from RefSeq and is a predicted model, not a curated record. Lineage: Eukaryota; Metazoa; Chordata; Mammalia; Primates; Cercopithecidae.
CCGUGCCCUGCCCAUUUUUAUUUUUUAUGUCAUGUUAAGAACCCUGCCUCAGAAAAAAAUAAACCCCCAGCUCCCAAGACAACGCCUAAUAUCCAUUAGUGAGGUGCUGUGCCAGGAGGAAAAGAAGGGAACAGCUGAGUGCUGGUGCCUUAUGCCAGCCCUGGGGCACAGACAUAAAUAAAGUGGGUUUUCUGUCCUUCCAGGGGCUCCUAUCCCAAGGGAGAGACCACAGAGAGGGCAACAACAGAGGUUCUGACAAAUCCGGGGAAGAGACAGGAACCAAGGAUGCCUUCCCAGAGGAGAUGGCAAUGAGCUGUUUGGGGUGACUGGAACAUAGCACGUGGAACAAGACCUGUUUUAAAUGAACCGCUUUAUUUUUAUGGCAACCAAUUCUUAAUUCAUUCAAUAAUAAUUGAAUUGGGUACCCACUAUGUGCAAGGAAUUGGACUAAGCACAAAUAGAACAGAAAAUAAUCAUCCAAUGUCUCCAACAAGAA